Molecule: ribosomal RNA, 773 nt
Filed under: uncultured bacterium
Lineage: Bacteria
Description: bacterial SSU rRNA
Rfam family: Bacterial small subunit ribosomal RNA
Source: RNAcentral
AGAGUUUGAUCAUGGCUCAGGACGAACGCUGGCGGCGUGCUUAACACAUGCAAGUCGAACGGAAAGGCCCUUCGGGGUACUCGAGUGGCGAACGGGUGAGUAACACGUGGGUGAUCUGCCCUGCACUCUGGGAUAAGCCUGGGAAACUGGGUCUAAUACCGAAUAGGACCGCAUGCUUCAUGGUGUGUGGUGGAAAGCUUUUGCGGUGUGGGAUGGGCCCGCGGCCUAUCAGCUUGUUGGUGGGGUAAUGGCCUACCAAGGCGACGACGGGUAGCCGGCCUGAGAGGGUGUCCGGCCACACUGGGACUGAGAUACGGCCCAGACUCCUACGGGAGGCAGCAGUGGGGAAUAUUGCACAAUGGGCGCAAGCCUGAUGCAGCGACGCCGCGUGGGGGAUGACGGCCUUCGGGUUGUAAACCUCUUUCAAUAGGGACGAAGCGCAAGUGACGGUACCUAUAGAAGAAGGACCGGCCAACUACGUGCCAGCAGCCGCGGUAAUACGUAGGGUCCGAGCGUUGUCCGGAAUUACUGGGCGUAAAGAGCUCGUAGGUGGUUUGUCGCGUUGUUCGUGAAAACUCACAGCUUAACUGUGGGCGUGCGGGCGAUACGGGCAGACUAGAGUACUGCAGGGGAGACUGGAAUUCCUGGUGUAGCGGUGGAAUGCGCAGAUAUCAGGAGGAACACCGGUGGCGAAGGCGGGUCUCUGGGCAGUAACUGACGCUGAGGAGCGAAAGCGUGGGUAGCGAACAGGAUUAGAUACCCCGGUAGUCCAA